Molecule: ribosomal RNA, 253 nt
Filed under: uncultured bacterium
Lineage: Bacteria
Description: partial 16S ribosomal RNA
Rfam family: Bacterial small subunit ribosomal RNA
Source: RNAcentral
UACGGAGGGGGCUAGCGUUGUUCGGAAUUACUGGGCGUAAAGGGUGCGUAGGCGGCUAUCCAAGUCAGACGUGAAAGGCCUGGGCUCAACCCGGGAACUGCGUUUGAGACUGGGUGGCUGGAGUCCGGGAGAGGUGAGCGGAAUUCCCAGUGUAGAGGUGAAAUUCGUAGAUAUUGGGAAGAACACCGGUGGCGAAGGCGGCUCACUGGACCGGUACUGACGCUGAGGCACGAAAGCCAGGGGAGCAAACGGG